CAACGAAGAAAAAUAGUUCAUCUAUCUUUUCAAAAUCAAUUUGAUUUUUCUAAAACAAAGCAUCCACGAGACUCACAGGCAACUCCAAUAAUUACCCCUUCAUGUUCAUAGGAUAUGUUAGACAUUAGAAUCUUACCUAACGUAGGUUGAAGCUAACCUAGCGUGAGUGAAGUAAUUUGAAAAAUCGAACCAAAACUCCUGAAACUGAUCCAACCUUGGCAGACAAGGGGCAGAUUGAAAGAAUAGUGAAAUUCCACCCAAUCCAACCCAACGUAUGCAUUUCGUUUUAUACUCAUAAAUGUAAUAUAAUUAUUAUAUUAUUAAUACUUCAUUUUUUUUUCUAUUAAAAAGUUAGUGAAUACCACGCGUGAGUUUCAUGGUUUGAUGGACACUAACGAGACACUAAUACUGAUGUAUGACAUUUUGAUGUAUUUAAAAUAUUUUCAAACACUUUUUAAAAACAGGUUAAAUCUUAUUUAUAUAUUUGGAUGACUACCCAUUACCCUUACUUUAUAUAAAAUAUUCUACAUCGAUCCUUUGAAAUAUAUAACUUUUACAAAGCUAUUGUAGAGAAGAAGGAACGAGAAAUGAGAGGGACCUCUCUCUUCAUGAUCCAAAUAAUUGAACCAAAUAUAAUAUAUGCAGUUCUAGCAAUUGAAGCUGGAAAAGUGAGAUAGUGGUGGUGGAAAGAACUAUCUGAGAAGAAAUUUGUAUAUCAAACCCACGGCACAACUAAUCGAUCCACAAAAUGAAUAUUGGGAUAUGCAUAAAAUGAUGUUUGGAAGUGGCAGGACUCAGGAGUGAGAACAAAAAA
Molecule: long non-coding RNA, 814 nt
Organism: Cucumis sativus (cucumber)
Lineage: Eukaryota; Viridiplantae; Streptophyta; Magnoliopsida; Cucurbitales; Cucurbitaceae
Exons: 2
Source: RefSeq, a predicted model, not a curated record